This 75-nucleotide transfer RNA is filed under the name Streptomyces rochei. RNAcentral's name for it is "tRNA-Arg". It matches the Rfam family "tRNA". From Rfam's summary of the family: Transfer RNA (tRNA) molecules are approximately 80 nucleotides in length. The record is from RNAcentral. RNAcentral also lists the same sequence under 17 other names. Lineage: Bacteria; Bacillati; Actinomycetota; Actinomycetes; Kitasatosporales; Streptomycetaceae.
GCCCCCGUAGCUCAGGGGAUAGAGCAACGGCCUCCGGAGCCGUGUGCGCAGGUUCGAAUCCUGCCGGGGGCACCG